GGAGUUGAGCAUGGUAAUUGUUCGUUAGCCAUGUAGCCGACGAGGCGGCGUGCUCGCGGUAACCCGGUCGUCGGAGCCCUCGGCCGUGCGAAGGUGUCAGCCGUAAUGUGUCAGCGUGAACCCGAUUCAGCCUCGUUACACUCAUCCCAAGUGGCCAGCCUUUCUGAGAGGGUGAAGCCAUCACGGGUCGUCCCAGCAACGAACACGUGCAGCGAUCCGACUUGGCGGGGUGAUUGGCGA
This 240-nucleotide non-coding RNA is filed under the name Rosistilla oblonga. The record is from RNAcentral. Lineage: Bacteria; Pseudomonadati; Planctomycetota; Planctomycetia; Pirellulales; Pirellulaceae.